CAGUCGCCGCGGUAAUACGUAGGGGGCAAGCGUUGUCCGGAAUCAUUGGGCGUAAAGCGCGUGUAGGCGGCUCGAUAAGUCUGCUGUGAAAGUCCAGGGCUCAACCCUGGAAUGCCGGUGGAAACUGUCGAGCUCGAGUCCGGAAGAGGCAAGUGGAAUUCCUGGUGUAGCGGUGAAAUGCGCAGAUAUCAGGAGGAACACCAAUGGCGAAGGCAGCUUGCUGGGACGGUACUGACGCUGAGACGCGAAAGCGUGGGGAGCAAACAGGAUUAGAUACCCGAGUAGUCCCUGUCUCUUAUAC
This 301-nucleotide ribosomal RNA is filed under the name uncultured bacterium. Its description in RNAcentral is "partial 16S ribosomal RNA". It matches the Rfam family "Bacterial small subunit ribosomal RNA", at positions 509 to 807 of the family's 1533-position model. The record is from RNAcentral.